GCCGGUAUAGCUCAGUUGGUAGAGCACCUGAUUUGUAAUCAGGGGGUCGCGGGUUCGAACCCUGCUGCCGGCACCA
This 76-nucleotide transfer RNA is filed under the name Pleurocapsa sp. RNAcentral's name for it is "tRNA-Thr". It matches the Rfam family "tRNA". From Rfam's summary of the family: Transfer RNA (tRNA) molecules are approximately 80 nucleotides in length. Their secondary structure includes four short double-helical elements and three loops (D, anti-codon, and T loops). The record is from RNAcentral. Lineage: Bacteria; Bacillati; Cyanobacteriota; Cyanophyceae; Pleurocapsales; Pleurocapsaceae. RNAcentral also lists the same sequence under 63 other names.